This 490-nucleotide ribosomal RNA is filed under the name uncultured bacterium. RNAcentral describes it as "bacterial SSU rRNA". It matches the Rfam family "Bacterial small subunit ribosomal RNA", at positions 30 to 521 of the family's 1533-position model. The record is from RNAcentral.
AUUGAACGCUGGCGGAAUGCUUUACACAUGCAAGUCGAACGGUAGAGGGGGCAACCCCUCGAGAGUGGCGAACGGGUGAGUAAUAUAUCGGAACGUGCCCAGUCGUGGGGGAUAACGUAGCGAAAGUUACGCUAAUACCGCAUACGAUCUACGGAUGAAAGCGGGGGACUCGCAAGAGCCUCGCGCGAUUGGAGCGGCCGAUAUCAGAUUAGGUAGUUGGUGAGGUAAAGGCUCACCAAGCCAACGAUCUGUAGCUGGUCUGAGAGGACGACCAGCCACACUGGAACUGAGACACGGUCCAGACUCCUACGGGAGGCAGCAGUGGGGAAUUUUGGACAAUGGACGCAAGUCUGAUCCAGCCAUUCCGCGUGCAGGAUGACGGUCCUAUGGAUUGUAAACUGCUUUGUACGGGAAGAAACACUCCUUCGUGAAGGAGCUUGACGGUACCGUAAGAAUAAGGAUCGGCUAACUCCGUGCCAGCAGCCGCGGU